This 496-nucleotide ribosomal RNA is filed under the name uncultured bacterium. RNAcentral describes it as "bacterial SSU rRNA". It matches the Rfam family "Bacterial small subunit ribosomal RNA", at positions 30 to 507 of the family's 1533-position model. The record is from RNAcentral.
AUGAACGCUAGCGGCAGGCUUAAUACAUGCAAGUUGAGGGGCAGCAUGAUAACGCGAGUAUAUUGAUGGCGACCGGCGGACGGGUGAGUAAUAGGUAGGAGACCUACCUCAUACAGGGGGAUAGCAUAGAGAAAUCUGUGGUAAUACCCCAUGAGGUUAGUAUGAAUAGAGGCAUAUAAUCAAAGCAUAAGCGAUUAUGCGGUAUGAGAGGGGCCUAACUGACCAUUAGCUAGUUGGUGAGGUAAGGGCUCACCAAGGCGAAGAUGGUUAGGGGUUUUGAGAGAGAGACCCCCCACAUUGGAACUGAGAGACGGUCCAGACUCCUACGGGAGGCAGCAGUAGGGAAUAUUGGGCAAUGGGCGAAAGCCUGACCCAGCCAUGCCGCGUGAAGGAAGACGGCCUUAUGGGUUGUUAAACUUCUUUACUACGCGAAUAGAGGUUAGUACGAGAUACUAAUAGGAAGGUAGUGUAGUAAAAAGCACCGGCUAACUCCGUG